UACGAAGGGUGCAAACGUUGCUCGGAAUCACUGGGCGUAAAGCGCACGUAGGCGGAUCUUUAAGUCAGGGGUGAAAUCCCAAGGCUCAACCUUGGAACUGCCUUUGAUACUGGGGAUCUCGAGUCCGGAAGAGGUUGGUGGAACUCCGAGUGUAGAGGUGAAAUUCGUAGAUAUUCGGAAGAACACCGGUGGCGAAGGCGGUCUGCUGGGCCAGUACUGACGCUGAGGCGCGACAGCGUGGGGAGCAAACAGG
This 253-nucleotide ribosomal RNA is filed under the name uncultured bacterium. RNAcentral's name for it is "partial 16S ribosomal RNA". It matches the Rfam family "Bacterial small subunit ribosomal RNA", at positions 524 to 776 of the family's 1533-position model. The record is from RNAcentral.